RNAcentral lists this ribosomal RNA (391 nucleotides) under uncultured bacterium. RNAcentral's name for it is "bacterial SSU rRNA". It matches the Rfam family "Bacterial small subunit ribosomal RNA", at positions 28 to 414 of the family's 1533-position model. The record is from RNAcentral.
GACGAACGCUGGCGGCGUGCUUAACACAUGCAAGUGGAGCGACGAACCGGGGCUUGCCCCGGGGCAGAGCCGCGAACGGGUGAGUAACACGUGGGUAACCUGCCUCAAUGAUUGGGACAACCCGGGGAAACUCGGGCUAAUACCAAAUGUGUUCACUCCUUUUAAGGGGAGUGAGGAAAGGAAGCUUCGGCCUCCGCAUUGAGAUGGGCCCGCGGCCCAUUAGCUUGUUGGUGAGGUAACGGCUCACCAAGGCUUCGAUGGUAGCUGGUCUGAGAGGACGAUCAGCCACACUGGGACUGAGACACGGCCCAGACUCCUACGGAGGCAGCAGUGGGGAAUCUUGCACAAUGCGCGAAAGCGUGAUGCAGCAACGCCGCGUGGGGGAAGACGG